Manis pentadactyla (Chinese pangolin) is the source of this 1199-nucleotide long non-coding RNA. RefSeq lists it as uncharacterized. NCBI's taxonomy places the organism in Eukaryota, Metazoa, Chordata, Mammalia, Pholidota, Manidae. The transcript is spliced from 7 exons. The record is from RefSeq and is a predicted model, not a curated record.
GUAAAUAAACUUGUAAAAGGCUAUUUGUCACGUAAUUCCAGCUAUCCUUAGUAAGAAGUAGUCUAAAGGUUUGCACGUUAAUACAAAUUAGGUAGAUAUUACUUAGAAAAGUCGUUAGUUACUAAAUCACACUUCUAAGCAUAACUAUAAGAAACCAUGUCAUUGAAUGAAUCUUUUCAGGGUCGCAUGAAGCAAGAAUGGUGAGUCUUUUUCUCUCUCUAAAUUUGGAUUAGCAAGGAGAAAACAUGACAGGACACAAUUGGAAACAUUGGUUAUAUUACUAAGGCUUUAACUGGAAUGUCAUAUUCCAGAGAGACGUGCAUAAACUCAGAUAUGACCAGACAGCUUUAAGGAACUAAGGUUAACUUGAUGGAGCCAAUAAGCCCCUUGGAAGAACUGGCCUGGUACCUUGGUUAUGGGGUUCCCAGCAGCCUUACCAGCUGCACAAACUGAAGGUGAAGAUCUUGAUAUGAACUUCAGAGAAAUCACCACAACAGCCCAUGUUUCGACGAUCUUUCUGCUUGUUGCUAUAGGGGCCACUCAGAAGGAUUGCCAGACACAUCUGAACCACAAACCAGGGUUGAAACCUAAUCCCCAUUGUGAUGGUAUUUGAAAGGAGCCUUUUGGAGAUGACUCAGCCAUGAAAGCAGAGCCCUAAAGAAUGGGAUUGGUACCCUUAUAGAAGGCCCUCUUGCCCCAUGUGAGGACACAGUGAGAAUACAGCCAUCUGGGAAUCAGGGAGCAUGCCAUCACUGUACACUGACUGCCAGCAGACUGGACUUCUAGCCUCUAAAACUAAUAUAAAUUCCAUGAGGGUUCAGGCUACAUCUCUGGUUUAUCACCAUAGCUGUGCACUUAGCUAGCCAGCACAGAACCUGGUACAUGGUCAACACUUAGCAAAUAUUUGUUGAAAGAAUGAAUGACUAAUGAAGGACCUGCCUUGCUGGGCUAAGGACUUUGGAUUCUUCCUGUACGUAUUCUGCAUUGGGAUGACAUGAUCAGAUUUCUGCUGCAGAUUGAUCACUUGGUGACAUCAUAGCAGCACACAGCAGAGUUCAAUGACUCGGCUCCUGUCCUGAAGUAGCCCUGUAUCCAGUUAAGUAAAAAACAUCAGAAUCAGCUGGAGGACUGGUAAUGGAGGAGAGGAGACACAGUGUCUCCCACCAGAGAGAAGCACCUUGCAACCACAAGUCAUGCCU